AAAAAAAAAAAAAAAGUGAGGUGCCUGUGAGCCACAAUUCUGUAUCUAGCACCGCAUGUAAUCAUUGCAUGUAACAACAUGUAAAUUGGUCCAGUUAUGCAUCUAGCAUCACAUGAUUUUCUAUUUUCCACGAGGCAAUUGGUGCAGUUAUGUAAUCAUCAUGGAUAUGUUGAAAGAGCAAUACAAGAAAAGAAAGAUCAUAAAAAGGAUAAAAAUGCGAGUUGUUCUUUUCUUUUUUUGUUAGAUUUCGUAUAACAAUUUUUUAGAUCAGGUAACUUGACACAAUACACAAGUAAAAUCCUAUUCUUUCUUUUCCACGGUUAAUAAAAUAAUGGUUGCAUAAGUGUAUGCACUCAACACAUCACUGGUUUAAAUUGCUCUACAAAAUAGAACUAUUACAAGGGCUCCAGCAAGUUCAUAGCCACAAUUGCACUAAAAACCAUAUCAUUUCCCUACUGUAACACAAAAUUAACCUGCAAAAACAAUAUUGAGAUAAGUUCUUAAGGUUUCAAUUAAAUAGAGAGCAACACUGCCCUUCUGAAAUAUACCUCAAGUUGCAGCUCGAUUUGGACGAAAUGUGAAUAAACACAAAUUAAACUUGCUGAAUUUAAAAAACAUGCUUAAAUAUCACUUUGUAGAUGUUACAGUAAAGCAUGCUAACACGUGGUUCAAAACAUUAACAGUCAUGAGAGAAUAUCUUUCACUAACCUGAGCAGCUAAAAGAGGUGGGACCAUAUUCUGAAUUUGAGAUAAACUUUGAUUCAGCGAACUCUUUAUCCUUUCGCAUCUUAAUAAGAUGGCUUCACCAGUAAGUGCCUGACAUUAUAAAUAUGAAUAAGGUAGAAAUAUAAGAGAAACGGAUGAAAUUCAAACUUAAACAGAAAGAUGCACUAGUUAUAAAAAAUUAGAGCAAAGUGAAACGAUUAACUUGACAAUGUAAAAUAAAAGGAAAUGACAUAAGAUCCCCGCAGAUUUUUCUAUUAAUCUUUCUUGUAGAACUAUACUUUGCCAUAUUUCUUAUUAGUAUUGGCAGUGAUUCUAUUAAUAUUUAAACUAUAUAUUAAAAAAAAAAAAAGAUCUUCCAAAUGGGAAAGAAAAAGAAAUGUGGUUUUGCGUUUUCAUAAAAUUGAAGUAACAAAUGGCAGAACCAUAAAAUCAGAUAAGCAGAGUAAUCUCCAGAAAAAUUAUAAGCAAUCAUUUUGCAAAAUAAAGCUUUUUUUGUUAACUUAGAAUAAUCAACAAGGAUUAUCACAAAAAAUAUCAACUUCAAAGGGCAUAUGCAAAAAACAGAUUUCUCAAUGGUACAUAUGGAGAAAAUUUUGCAAAGGUAUAUAUGCAAACCCCUAAAUAAGGGAGCACAAAUGUAGGUCGAUAUGCAUUGCCUAUGCAUAUGGAGUUCAAGAUUUAAAAAAAAAAAGAAAAGAAAAGAAAAGGAAAAGAAAAGCAUACCAAGUAGAGUUUGCUACAUUCGGAACAGUGCUGAAUGAUUAGCUUUCCUUUCUCAACUGAGGUAUUUAAAGAACAUAGCGCAUGAAUCCCUAAACUGCUUCCCGGUCUAGCAGAUUCCAUUGCAGGAAGAAUAGAAGCGAUUCUAUCCAAUAUCUUUCUAAGCUCACAGCAAAUUGAGCCAUGAACCUAAAAUAGAGAGUAAAAAGAAGGGGGGAAAAACUAUGUAAGCUAAAAAAGUCGCAAGAAAAAUAAAAACAUGAAGUGGUAGACAUUAGCAUACGAAGAGCAAUAAGCACAAAAACUACACCAGUCAAAAACUCCUGAUUCCUAUAUUUUUCAAAGACUCAACAUGUUUCAACUUUCUACCUUCAAUAUCUUCUUACGUGAAUAUAUUUAGAGUUGUUCCUAUUAACAAGAAGAAGAGUUGGAAAAAAUACAAUCUAAGACCAGCUAAAAACACUAAAACUGCAGACAGUAAAGGCAGCAACUGGAUGAGUCAUUUAGAAACAACCACGAAAAUAUGAAAGAUUUCACCAAGAUCAUAUUUUAUAGGUCAUUUCAGCACUCUUAAUUAACAAUUUUCCAUCAAAUACAUGACAACUAUAUUGCACUCAUGAGUUGACCAAAUAAAUAUAAUAGAUUAUCAAUGAUCUUCUCUAGCUACUUAUCUCCAGCAAGCAGUAAAAAAUUCCUACUCUUUUGUCUGCACACCAUUACUGCAGAAGAAAGUCUAAAGACACUAUUGUUAAGCUUUAACAGAUAAACUGUACUCACAACUGGAGAACAAAGACAGCUCUUAUCCAUUUUAGACUGUACUUACAAUUGGAGAACAAAGAUAGCUAUUAUCCAUUUUAUGGGAAAAAAAAAAAGACCUCUAUCAUUUAAUUACAUCAAGAGACGAGUAUGUACCUUUACAUCAGAAGAACUUUGUGGAACAUGCACAGUUUCAGCAACAUCAUUCUCCAUCCAAAUAAGAAACUGGCUACUGGACUCAAUCUGCAAAGAAAUUGAAUAUGUUGAUAAAUUAAAUAAGAUUAAAAAAAAAAAAAGGCAAAGAAAGAGCCAAUUAAAGCCAAAAUGAAGACUAUCAUAAUUAUUUGUAAAUAACCUGCAGCGUUUUAAAGUUUGUUGUGCAAAAGUAGUGGAUGUGAAUUAUCUUAACUUCUUAACAAGUGUUUUAAUAAAAUCACCCUUAUAUGUUAUAACAAUAUGAUUUUAGAGAGACUACGACUAAAACUGGACUGGUAUAAUAACGACGCAGGAUCUGGCGAACAACAGCUCAAACAGUGCAAGGUCGAGCUUCCAUGAACCAAGCACAUGCCACAAAGUAGUAUCCUCAAGCUUAACCAAUGUGUCAACAGAAUUGAACCCACGAAAGUGAUACAAAAAAACAGCACUAAGUGUUAAAUACUCCUAUCAGUCUCAGUUCUUGUGUCAGCUCGAUCAUCAAAAGGAAGUUUUGUUUUGGAAGUUUCAUCACGGACUUAAAGUUUCACCUAGAACUCAGAAAUCAAAGGCAUUCAAAUCCAACUUGUGUCAUCCCUGAUCCAAAAUUAUGUUUCAGAAAAUGAAACAGAGUUUCAAAAACCGGACCCCCACCAAAAAAAAAUAAAAAUAAAAAAGAAAAGUAGACUAAAACAAAGGUUGGUUUCUAAGAACUUGCUCACCAAAAUAAAAACAGGGGACUUUUUUUUUCUAUAUCAAGGAACUUUCAUGGGUAUAUACACAAGAGUAUUUCCAAUUAUAGGCAUUUGUUUAACAAACUAUAUCGUAUAAAUAGCUACACAUGGCCACCUAUGAAAAUUUAGGUAAAUACAAUUUAUCUAAAGUACAUCAUGACAAACUCAUAUACAGUAUGAUUCAAACGGAAAAGCAUCUAUUCUCGCUACAUGUACACUCCACCGAAUAAAUACUUAACUACACGCCAAACUCAAACUCAAAUUCCCAACAUGUGAUUUAUUCCUCGUAAUCGCAAUACAACAACCUACUAGAUAAGGAAUCAAAUAGGAAUUUUUAACCAGAGAUGCUCAAAGCCACAUAAUAAUUCACAUAACAAUCCAAACUAAACCUAAAAAGUGCAAUAGAAAACGCAAAAUUAAGCAUUAAUUCGACAAUCCCAAGCAUAAAACCAACCCUGACUACACAAACAUGACCUAAAAAUCGAAUUUUGAGCGGAAAAACCGAUAAGAAGAAGCGAUUAAACAGGAACAAAACCUGAUUUCGAGCACAAAAUCCUUCUACGCAGUCAUCAGAAUCCAAUUUCCCCCGCCAACAAAUACUUAUUAGGGUUUUCCUUGUUCUCUCGAUGGUUCAAGGAGAAAGUAAAGAUGGUAGUAAUAAUUGCUACGAAACAAGAAGUAAAUCGAUCGGUAAAAAAGCGACGUGAGGAGGAUAGAGGAUCCAAUCGAUCGAGGAUCGCCAACCACCGAUUAUAUGAGAGAGAGAGAGAGAGAGAGAUUAGGUUCUAGAGAGAGAGAGAGAGAGAGAGAGAGAGAGAGAGAGAGAGAGCGACACCUAACCCGCGGAGACGACGACGCAUUCGAAGGUGGAGGGGAGAAAGGAAAGGAAAGGAGACGGAGAGAGAGGGGGGUGCCGAGUCCCCCUUUUUGGCAGUUAGUGGGGCCCAGGCCCACUGCAAGAGAGGGUGGUGGGUGGAAUUGUUCAAAAGUGGGAGUGGUGGUGACCUGGGGACCCACUUCGCAAGGAAAUGACAUGGUUAAAAAAUAAAUAAAAAUCAAAUAAAACAAAAGGUAAAUCACAACUCUGGUGGUUCUCAAAUUAUCAUAUGUCCGCCACAUUUUUAAGUUUUCAAGUUUUAAUUUAUCAUAAUUUUUUAUUUGUAUUAUUUAGUUUGUCGUCGUAAAAUUUUUCAUUACAAUUUGGUUGAUCAAAUAUUAAUACACCGUUAAUCAAGAAUUUAAGUGUAAUGAUACGGGAUCGCGUCGAAAACUUAUUAAUAAGGUAUAGGACGGUGCGUAACGGUCAUAAAAAAUACAUGUGUUGAUACAUAAUAACAUAAAAUAUUUAUAUUUUUAGUAAUAAAAUAUUUUUUAUUAUUUAUUAUGUAUUUUUAUCAAUUCUUUUAAAUUUUAUUAAGAAAAUUACUUACUAACUUCAAAAAUAGAGAAUUUUUUGCUGUGACAUUUCGGCACGAUACGGUAGAUACGGUCCCUUGUACCUGUGGAUUCAAAAAUUCUUGUAGUUAAUAUAGCAAUAAUGCAGUCGUUGUUUUUUUUUUUUUUUUUUUUUUAGAGAGAGAUAGGUAAACACGCUACCCGCUUCGUUUAUUUCAUUUAGAAAUAAACUUAGCUAGAAAUGUGAAUCAACUAGGAUUCGAAUUUGGGUCUCGAGUACCGACCAACAAGCUCUUUGCCACUUGCUCUAGGGACGGUCGGUAAUAAUGCAAUAGUAUUAUGACUGAUAAUGUAAGAAUGACUAAAAUAUCUUAUUAUCACAUCAGUGACACGUCAAUAUUAAACUAACUAAAUUACAUUGUGAAACUUUAUUGUAAUUAAAAAGAUCAAAAAAGCUUGGGCCUAAAAUUAUAAUAUGUUAAAAUUUAAAGUCUAAGAUGCCCUAAGUUUCAUACUUUGAGGACCAAAGUACCGUUUAGUCUGGGAUAGAAGGGGAAAUUAUCACUUGCACGUACGUGAUGUGGGGAAAUUAUCACUUGCACGUACGUGAUGUAUUUUAUGCUUCGUGCAACGUACCAACUUAAUUUCUCCUCGAAAAGUGCAUGGACAAAAUAUGUACUAUAUAUGAUCUCUGUAAUCAAAUUAUUAUGUGCUGCAGUUUCAUUUUGACUAUCAAACAAUAGAAAAAAAUAAAAAAAUAAAAAAUCAAUGAUAUAUUUUUCCGUAGAAAACUAUGGUGGUCAAAAUAUUUUUUGCCGGCUACAUCUCACAAUAAAAAAAUAAAAAAAUAAAAAUAAAAAUAAAGAAAAGAUGAGCCUGCCUCACCAUUAACUAUAAAACUUUGAAAAAAAAAAAUAUGGGGCUUGAUUGUUGUCAUGCCCCGAGGCCAGUUUGAGAAAGCAUAUGUAUGACGAAUAUUUAUUUCAGAAAUAAGAGUUGCUGACCGACGGUCCCUACUGCAAGUGGCAAAGAGUAUGGUGUUUGAUACCCGAGACCCAAGUUCGAGUCUUAAUUGAUUCACAUUUCCAGCUAAAUUUAUUUCUAAAUAAAUGAAAUAAACAAAGCGGACAACAUGCUACCUUUCUCUCAAAAAAAAAAAAGAAAAAAAAAGAAAUGAGAGUUGCAGAAAACACACCCUCCUUUUUUUGGAAAGCUGUCUGGCCCACGUAACUUAGAGACCCGCCACAAAUACAAAAUUUUUCUGUCCAUACGGACAGAGUCUUACUUAUAUUUGCACGGCGUACUAUCUUAUAUAACAAGAUCCAAAAUCACAAUUACAAUCCACACAUUCACACCAUUAUUCACAACAACUCAUAUGAUGAAUAAAUCUCACAAGCAACCUAUUAGUUGAAAGUGCUCCCCCACUCGAAAGCUUUGUUUUUAACCUCUAAGUAAAUCAUCAAUCGAUUGCAAUCAAAAUCCGUUUUGCAAACUGUUUUCCACGCAGAAACGAUUCAUUUUGAAAACCAACUACCGCAAGGAGUAAAAACCAAAAAACGUAGAUGCGAAAAAGUCAAAAAUACCACAAGCCCGGAAAACUCAAAGUACAUACGUAAACGAAAAACCAAAACCACGUUAGUCCAAGUUACUAAUCAUGCAUAAUAACCAUGAUUAACAAUUUAUUAUUUAAACUACUAAAGAAGUAAGAGAGAUUAAACGGGGUGAACCACUAAUGCAACUAACUAGGCCAUCCUCCCAUCGCACCGUGACUCGACCCCUCUUUCGUAUCACCUGAAAAAAAAAGGGUGUGAGAAAUCACAAAAGAGGUUUCUUAGUGAGUACAACAUAUCCACAAAGGCAAGGCGUAAUCACUAGAAAACAAAGGAGAACAAGUAAUAUGAAUAUAUGCGCCAUGAUACAAAAGAAAACUACAGCAGUAAUGGUAACAAAUAUAGUAAAUGAGCACGAAGAGAAGGAGAAAAGAGGUCUCUGGCCGCCGCCGGCGCGAUAGCGGCGGCAGGUACACUUCUGGUAGGCUGGGGUGGAGGGGAAAUAAGGGAUUAGGGUUAGGGUUUGGACUAAUUAAUUCCUAACACUAUAUAUAUAUAUAUAUAUAUAUAUUUAUAUUAAUUUUCUUAUUAUAAUAUAUAUUCUAAAGGUAUCGUUUGGUUCGGAAAUAAGCAAAAAGUGGGUAUUCGGGGAUAGUAUAAAUUGAGGUAUAAGCGGGGAUUAAAUCAAAUUUUGCGUUUGGAUGAAAAUUAGGUUAUCCUGGAAAUAAGAAAAUAGCGUUGGUUAGGUAAGAUGGAAUAAGAAUUAAAGUGGGUAGUUAUAAAUAAAAAUUAAUAAUAUUAUUCUUUUAAUUAUAUUAGAAUUAGAAUUUUUAUAUUUUAUAUUUAUAUUUUAAAAUUUAAAAUAUAAACUUUUAAAUUUUAAAAUUAAAAUUAAAAAUUAAAAUUUUAAAAUCUCAAAUUUAUAAUUUAUAAAAAAUUAAUUUAUCAUGAAUAUUAUUAGAUAAUCAUAAAUGUUAAUUAAUACAUUAAUUACCAGAUUAAUUAAUCAUUAAUCAAUUAAUCAUGAGUACUGUUAAUUAAUAAAUUAUAUAACUAUAAAUAAUUUAAUAAGUUAACAAAUUAGGCUAAUAAAUUAAUAUAUUAGUAAAUUAAUUAAUUAAUUAAUUAUUUAAUUAGUUAUGUUGGUAAAAAUAUUAAUUUAUUAAUCAAUAAAGAUAUUAGUUAUUGCAUAAACCGCUAAUAAAUAAUUAUUAAUUUACCUAAUAUUUUAUUAUUAAAUUAGUUAAUUUUAAUUUAGCUAAUUAGUUAAUAAAAUAAUAUUAUAUAAUAUUAAUUAAUAAUAUUUUAUUAUUAAACAAGUAGAGGUAUAAAGAGAAAAUUUGUUAUUCUACCAAAAGGUGAGAACAACAAAUCCCCUCUUAACGGUUAUUCUAGAAAAUAACCCGUUAGAGGGGGAUAAAAUAAACUCACUCCCUCUUAUAGCGUUUGGAUGAAUUAGAGGGAUAAAGUGGUCUAUUCCCAAUUUAUCCCCCAACCAAACAAUGCCUAAAGGAAAAUUGCCUCCACAGCCUUUCCGCAAUAUGGAGCACCGGAUUGUUUUAGAAAGCAAAAACUACGUAAAAAUUGGCCAAUAUGCGAUAAAGGAAGUUUUCUCGAAUCAUGCAUCGAGAGUAAAAUUGAUUAGCGCCAUUAUCUCCGGCACAGUCGAACCAUCAAAACGACCUAUCAGAUCGCUCAAAACGAAGUCCAAUUCACGUCCAGAGCACACAUACAACAGAAUUAGGUUAUAGGGACACAUGUUUGGGACACUUUUGAGUAAGUGUCCCAUUUAUACUAAAACUUAAAAAAAUAUCUACUAAUGCCUAAAUAUAAAGCGCAACCCAACCAAAAAUAAAAGAUUACUUUACUCAACUCACCACACCCAGUUUAUUUGGCCCGAUUACAAACAGAAAAGAAAAAAAAAAGAAAAAUCAAUUACCAUCUUUUCUUCUUUCUUCACUCAAUCCACUGAAAUUCUAGACGAAGUGCCUUUCCUGUCGUCCUCCUCCGCCACCGCAGCCAACGAGAUAGAGUUUCGGCGGUUGUUAAAUGCUUAAAUAAGUGUCGGUAAAUUAGUAGCACUCUUUUAGGUUAUAGCGACACUCUUUAAUUGUCACUAUAUAUCUAGCGACCCCACAUAUAGCAACACUUUUUAAAAGUGUCGGUAAUUUUAGCUAGCAGCACUUUUUUGACAUGUACCUACAUUUAAAAGUGUCGCUAUAGAUCGUUUUUGUUGUAGUGCAUCCCUACGCCCUUGCCUCAAUUCGAAACAUCAAUUACUAUUCAUUUAAGUGAAUAGUAAAAAUCACGUCACGGCUUUGUUUUAAC
This 8401-nucleotide long non-coding RNA is filed under the name Ananas comosus (pineapple). RNAcentral describes it as "long non-coding RNA (ACOM_LNC019455)". The record is from RNAcentral. Lineage: Eukaryota; Viridiplantae; Streptophyta; Magnoliopsida; Poales; Bromeliaceae.